This 231-nucleotide ribosomal RNA is filed under the name uncultured bacterium. Its description in RNAcentral is "partial 16S ribosomal RNA". It matches the Rfam family "Bacterial small subunit ribosomal RNA", at positions 1261 to 1500 of the family's 1533-position model. The record is from RNAcentral.
CACCGAGCGGAACUCGAAAGCCUGUCUCAGUUCGGAUCGGAGUCUGCAACCCGACUCCGUGAAGCUGGAUUCGCUAGUAAUCGCGCAUCAGCCAUGGCGCGGUGAAUACGUUCCCGGGCCUUGUACACACCGCCCGUCAAGCCAUGGAAGCCGGGAGUGCCUGAAGUAUGCAACCGCAAGGAGCGUCCUAAGGUAAAACCGGUGACUGGGGCUAAGUCGUAACAAGGUACC